AAAGUCGUAACAAGGUUUCCGUAGGUGAACCUGCGGAAGGAUCAUUAUUGAAAUAAACCUGAUAAGUUGCUGCUGGUUCUCUAGAGAGCAAUGUGCACACUUGUCAUUUUUGUAUCUUCACCUGUGCACCUUUUGUAGACCUGACUAUCUCUCUGAAUGCUUUUAUAGCACUCAGGAUUGAGAAUUGACUACUUGUCUCUUCUUAUAAUUUCAGGUCUAUGUUUCUUCAUAUACCCUAAUGUAUGUUCAUAGAAUGUAAUUAAUGGGCCUUUGUGCCUAUAAACCUUUACAACUUUCAGCAACGGAUCUCUUGGCUCUCGCAUCGAUGAAGAACGCAGCGAAAUGCGAUAAGUAAUGUGAAUUGCAGAAUUCAGUGAAUCAUCGAAUCUUUGAACGCACCUUGCGCUCCUUGGUAUUCCGAGGAGCAUGCCUGUUUGAGUGUCAUUAAUAUUAUCAACCCUUUUUGGUUGGAUGUGGGUUUGCUGGCCUCUCCCAAGGUCAGCUCUCCUUAAAUGCAUUAGCGGACAACAUUUUUGCCAACUGUUCAUUGGUGUGAUAAUUAUCUACGCUAUUGACGUGAAGCAAGGUUCUGCUUCUAAUAGUCCAUUAACUUGGACAAGCCCUCUUUUAUUAAUGUGGCCUCAAAUCA
Molecule: ribosomal RNA, 649 nt
Filed under: Calonarius lilacinovelatus
Lineage: Eukaryota; Fungi; Basidiomycota; Agaricomycetes; Agaricales; Cortinariaceae
Description: eukaryotic LSU rRNA
Rfam family: 5.8S ribosomal RNA (bases 291-444)
Source: RNAcentral